Molecule: ribosomal RNA, 440 nt
Filed under: uncultured bacterium
Lineage: Bacteria
Description: partial 16S ribosomal RNA
Rfam family: Bacterial small subunit ribosomal RNA
Source: RNAcentral
CCUACGGGUGGCAGCAGUGGGGAAUAUUGCACAAUGGGGGAAACCCUGAUGCAGCGACGCCGCGUGAGUGAAGAAGUAAUUCGUUAUGUAAAGCUCUAUCAGCAGGGAAGAAAAUGACGGUACCUGAGUAAGAAGCCCCGGCUAACUACGUGCCAGCAGCCGCGGUAAUACGUAGGGGGCAAGCGUUAUCCGGAUUUACUGGGUGUAAAGGGAGCGUAGACGGCAGUGCAAGUCUGGAGUGAAAGGCGGGGGCUCAACCCCGGGACUGCAUUUGGAACUGUGUGGCUGGAGUGUCGGAGAGGCAGGCGGAAUUCCUAGUGUAGCGGUGAAAUGCGUAGAUAUUAGGAGGAACACCAGUGGCGAAGGCGGCCUGCUGGACGAUGACUGACGUUGAGGCUCGAAAGCGUGGGGAGCAAACAGGAUUAGAUACCCGUGUAGUC